UACGUAGGGAGCAAGCGUUGUCCGGAUUUAUGGGGCGUAAAGAGCUCGUAGGCGGCUUAGUAAGUCAGGUGUGAAACCUCCAGGCUCAACCUGGAGACGCCACUUGAUACUGCUAUGGCUUGAGUUCGGUAGGGGAUCACGGAAUUCCUGGUGUAGCGGUGAAAUGCGCAGAUAUCAGGAAGAACACCGACGGCGAAGGCAGUGAUCUGGGCCGAUACUGACGCUGAGGAGCGAAAGCGUGGGGAGCGAACAGG
RNAcentral lists this ribosomal RNA (254 nucleotides) under uncultured bacterium. Its description in RNAcentral is "partial 16S ribosomal RNA". It matches the Rfam family "Bacterial small subunit ribosomal RNA", at positions 524 to 776 of the family's 1533-position model. The record is from RNAcentral.